Molecule: long non-coding RNA, 445 nt
Organism: Bactrocera oleae (olive fruit fly)
Lineage: Eukaryota; Metazoa; Arthropoda; Insecta; Diptera; Tephritidae
Source: RefSeq, a predicted model, not a curated record
UUAUGUCAAACAUCUAAAUUUUGACUAGUGCUUGAUACAUUACCUGCCUCACUACCUGGCACUUUUUUCCGGAGGUCGUCUAUGAGAUCGGUUAUGCGAUUAAGUAAAUAGGAUACGUGGAAAUGUGGAUAUAACCCCUUAUAACCCUAUGAAAUAUAGUCGGAUACUAACGUAACUCACCUAUCACAAAAAUCAACUCCAUGCAAAAUGUUGUAAAGUAAGUCAUAUCGCAAAGCGUCUCAAUUGUAUAUCCCUAUUAGCACUUUCAUAAUAUUUCAUCCUAUUAUAAAAAACGAAUGCUGAGAGGUGAUGAAAUGCAGUGCCAGCAACUAACCAAAACAAAUUCUAUACAAAUCAUACUCAUUUUCUACCGCAGUAGUCAUUCUACUUAACCCACUGUACGCCAGUGCACCUUUCCUUCACUUAGCGGGUGUAGUAAUACUAU